GGUCACUGCUAUCGGUGUUCGUCUAAGCCAUGCGAGUCAUAUGUUCUUUGGAACAUGGCGUACUGCUCAGUAACACGUGGAUAACCUGCCCUUGGGUCCGGCAUAACCCCGGGAAACUGGGGAUAAUACCGGAUAACGCAUAUAUGCUGGAAUUCUUUAUGCGUGAAACGGAUUCGUCUGCCCAAGGAUGGGUCUGCGGCCUAUCAGGUAGUAGUGGGUGUAAUGUACCUACUAGCCGACGACGGGUACGGGUUGUGAGAGCAAGAGCCCGGAGAUGGAUUCUGAGACAUGAAUCCAGGCCCUACGGGGCGCAGCAGGCGCGAAAACUUUACAAUGCGGGAAACCGUGAUAAGGGGACACCGAGUGCCAGCAUCAUAUGCUGGCUGUCCGGGUGCGUAAAAUACACCUGUUAGCAAGGGCCGGGCAAGACCGGUGCCAGCCGCCGCGGUAACACCGGCGGCCCGAGUGGUGAUCGUGAUUAUUGGGUCUAAAGGGUCCGUAGCCGGUUUGGUCAGUCCUCCGGGAAAUCUGACGGCUUAACCGUUAGGCUUUCGGGGGAUACUGCCAGACUUGGAACCGGGAGAGGUAAGAGGUACUACAGGGGUAGGAGUGAAAUCUUGUAAUCCCUGUGGGACCACCUGUGGCGAAGGCGUCUUACCAGAACGGGUUCGACGGUGAGGGACGAAAGCUGGGGGCACGAACCGGAUUAGAUACCCGGGUAGUCCCAGCCGUAAACGAUGCUCGCUAGGUGUCAGGCAUGGCGCGACCGUGUCUGGUGCCGCAGGGAAGCCGUGAAGCGAGCCACCUGGGAAGUACGGCCGCAAGGCUGAAACUUAA
RNAcentral lists this ribosomal RNA (837 nucleotides) under uncultured archaeon. RNAcentral's name for it is "bacterial SSU rRNA". It matches the Rfam family "Archaeal small subunit ribosomal RNA", at positions 21 to 859 of the family's 1478-position model. The record is from RNAcentral.